CUCACUGUCUUGCAAACUCAGCGCCCAUUCGGGCUGAGUGAUUUGGGUGAUGCCUUUCUCGUCCCCCAGGACAAGACAUGACAGAGAGGCCGAGAGGAGAGAACAGCAGACGUUAUAUUACUUUCCACUUGAGAGCUCUGAGCACAGCCAUGACAAGACAGCUAGCACCUCAGCCUGCCUCCUGCCUCCUGCCUCCCUCCCCACCACUACACCAGCAACUCAGCUGCCUGUAUCCCUGCCCCCCUCUCCCUCCCUAGCUCUGACUGGAGAGGACUAAAUGUGCUUCCCAAAUGGAACCCUAUUGCCUAUAUAGUGCACUACUUUUGGCCAGAGCCGUAGGGUCCUCAUUAAAAGUAGUUCACUAUAAAGGGAAUAGGAUGCCAUUUGGGACAUAACCAGAGACAGGAUAUCAUCAAGCUAAGCUAGAAUAUAUCACUAAUAUUCUUCAUGACACCCUUCCUUCUCCUUCUAAACAACUGGUUCAUAUUUUAAUUAUGUAACUUCCUGGGUCUGUAUUUGCAAAGUGUCUCAAGAGUAGGUGUGCUGAUCUAGGAUCAGUUUUAUUAAGACAGGGGGACCUGAUCCUGAUCCACUCCUACUAUGGCGCUUUGCGAACACAGGCAUAAAUAAAUAAGACAUGAAAAAUACGCAUCUGUUUCAGAUUCAGAUUGGUCUCCAUGGGAUUUUACGAUAUUAAAAGUUGAAAAGAAUAUUG
Molecule: long non-coding RNA, 715 nt
Organism: Salvelinus fontinalis (brook trout)
Lineage: Eukaryota; Metazoa; Chordata; Actinopteri; Salmoniformes; Salmonidae
Exons: 3
Source: RefSeq, a predicted model, not a curated record